Molecule: non-coding RNA, 6834 nt
Organism: Phalacrocorax carbo (great cormorant)
Lineage: Eukaryota; Metazoa; Chordata; Aves; Suliformes; Phalacrocoracidae
Source: RefSeq, a predicted model, not a curated record
GUUCGCUUUCAAACUAAAAUUUUUGUUAAUGAAUACUGGAGAAACCCUCUUUUAUUUAGAAAAACAUACGUUCACAGCUUGAAGAGGUGAUAGUGAUGACUUAGCAUUCAUGUUCUUGUUGCAAGAAAGAUUUGUCAUAGUUCAGAGGGUUGAUUAUGCAGAAAAUAGCCCUGUUGCUUGGAUAAUUUGGCCUUAACCCAUCUAUUUCUCCAAGUGCAUGAAAGUACGCUUUGUAGAACUGUAUAUUGCACAGUCAUGCAAUCCAAUGUUGCCUACACCAGCUGUCAUAAGCAUUAUACAAGGAAUAGCAGUAUAACCUGCUGCUUUCUCCACAAAAUUGUAGUCUAACCCACUGUGCAGGAUGGAUAUUCUUUGGUGUUUUCCGCCCCACUCUGCCUGUUGGUUGUCUUAAUUUGUGGGAAUAUAGUUGUUAGGUUCUUGUGUUUACUUGUAUAAAACUCAUACAUCAUGGUAAGUGUGGCAUGCUCUAGAUAGGGAGCUUAAGAUAGGAUUAUCAAUUUUUAGUACCUCAGUAGUUGUACCCUGCUUUUAAUUGCCUGUAAUGAUCUACUUGGAGCGCUUCAAGCACAUGAAGACCUUUGAAGAAAAAUGGCAAAAAUUUAUAUCAUGUGUAAAGGUAAAUGUUACGUUCAUCUUAUGCUUUUCGAAACUAAAGGUGCAGUGCCUCAAAGUGGGGUGAGCUAAUCUGACAAUUCACUGUUGAAAGAGGGAUGUCCUCUCUUCCCUGGCUUUUGCUCAUGUUUACUUGGAUUCUAGUCUGGUUAGGGCCAGUUCAGUUCUCUAAAUUAUAAGUAAGACUUUUUUUUUUUCCCUUGAGUAGUUGUUUUCUGAGCUGGUGACCAGAAUCAGCCAGCUGAGAGGUCAAAGAAGUGUUGAGCUGCCAUGAUGGAAUUGAUAGGGGUAGAGGGGAAAGCCACUACCCACCUCCCUGCAAGCUGCUGGACUGGUUUAGGCAUCUCUUAAGUCUUACUUGCCAAAUGCAAGAUUUCUUAAGAGAACAGAAAACCUAAUGCAGGCAAUGUAGUAGUGUGUUAGGAAGAGGAGUUCCUAAUGGAUGAAAAGAGGAGCCCUACCUUUUGGCUUGAAUUUGGAGCUACUCAUUGCAAUGAAUAGCAUGGCACCCACUGAUGCCAGGUGGAGGCCUGCAGUUCUAGGGAAAAUGCAGUCUAUGGGCUUUAAUCUUCACAGUUUUGCUCAUCACUUAAUGAAGAAAAUAGGCUUGCCCCUAUUUCUUCAGCUCUUUUUUGUCUUUGUGCGUGUUCUUAGCAGUUUGCUGCUACUGCUAAGUUAGUACUGGCUAUUUGCUUCCAUUUUUCUGGAUCACUUAGUGUUAGCAUGCUUCCCAGCACAGAUCACUGUGAUUGCACCGGUGAUCUUUCUUGGUUCUGAACACUUGAGUCCUAUAUUCAUACCCUGUUUCCUGUCUUUCAGCCAAGUGUUUAUCCAUGUGAGGACUUUCCUUCCUAUCCCAUGGCAGUUGAGUUCCUUAAAGAACCCUGGGUGAGGGACCUUGUCAAAUGCCUUUGGGAAAUCCAGGGAUGUUCCAGUUCCCCCAGUUGCUUGGAUUUCUAGAGUUUGAGAAGCAACAAAUGCUUAAAGUUUUUCAUCUUUAUCUGGUAAAGAGGCAUUCAUUAUUUUGUGACCUAGUAGCACUCAGUUUAGUGGCAACCACUGUCCAAAUCCUUUGUGUCUUACAAGCUGUGCAUGUGUUCCCCCACUGGUACUCUGCAGUGGCUGGAGGUGAGCAAUGUUUCCAAUGAGGAACCAAGCGUUUUAAUCAUAGGAGUAGAAUGCAGGAACUUAAUAACGCCCAUGCCAUUUUUUAGCUUUGUAGUAUCUUAAGCAGUUGUUUUGGGUCUUGGUUAAAUGCCUUUUUUCUGUAAGCAUGUACAAACCCGAUCAGACUAAAUGUCUACUUAUUGUGAUAUUUCUUAAAACAACUAACAGCCAAGGCCUGGGGAAGGAUAUAAAUCUAAGGCAAGCAUGUCAUUCUCCAGAAGAUUACCCUAUCCUUCCCCAUUUUACCCUUUUGGGAUUUCCCUCUCUGAUGGUGGCAUGAUCUGGCAGUAGCACUAUAAGGUGACAGCCAGAGUCAACUGAAAUGCUGGAACUUAACCACUUAAACUACAAUGUCUGUCUUUGAGUCUGCAUAACACUACUUUUUCCAUAAUGCAGUGUAAGCAUCUCCAGAUUGUGUAUGCAAUGAGUUGUCAUUACUGCAGUAAACAUUCUUACUGAGAUGUGCUCUCAGACUUGUAUUUUGUCUUGAAUGGUUGACCACCUUGUGGAAUCUUCCAGAUAGGUAAAGCUGCACUUAAAAUAUAAAAUAUUUGUUCUGUUGGUGGGCAUAUAUGGCUUUAUUUUUGUUUAGAAUUAGUUUUCUAUUGGAGAAGAUACAGAAAUGCUGUCCUGCUUCUCUGUUGCCUGAGUUCUUAAGAUUAUUCAUCAGACUUAAACUUUGAGGGCUGGAUUGUGGCUUUACCAUGGAAGACCAAGGUAUAUGCAUAUUAUUUUGUCUUGUUGAAAUACCAGCCCAGAUUUCUGUAUUGUAAGUAAAAAUGGGCUAGUUAAUAAACUAGAAACCUUUUUCUCCAACAGCUUUUUGGGUAGGCUGAUAAAUCUUCUCUUUGGGUAAAACACUUGUUUAUGGGUGGGAUUAUAAUCUGUGGUUGUGUAUUUAACUAGUAUCAGGAUUAAGAUUUUGAAAGGACCUUUCAGUUCCCUUCAUCAGUGUAUCAAGAGAGGCCAUGUAUAGUAGGAAGAGUUGGUGAAGCUUAUGGGUUUUGUUCUUCAGCACAAAAGAAGAAAGCCUUGGGUGCUCCCUGUCACUGUCUAGCAUCUUAUUCUUGAUGACUAUUACUUGGCAAAAUGUCUGUUUGGCUUAUUAAUGCACGGUUGUAAAAGUCUUGGGAUGACAAGGCCUGUUUUUCUGAUAGCCAUUCUGUGCACUUGACUGUGUUCUUUUGGCCACCAUUGUUUCUGUGGUUAUGGUGGUUCUACAAGAUGUGAGUUAAUGACCUGCUUUGCAGAAGACUGAAGAGGUGCAACAGGGCUAAUGUGUACUGACAGAGGCUGUGCUUCUUGUAGGAGUAGGACUUGGUCUCAACUAUGCCCCUGUAAAGCUAUUGCUCAGUUUAAAUUUGGUUUGUCCUCCCAGUGCGCAGAGGUUGGACCUCUGUUUCCAGGGCUUGUACAUGCUUAGGCUAGCCAUGGAUAAAAUCCUGCAGAAGCUAAGCAAUUGAUGAAAUUUGUAAUGAUAUGUUUGAGUGCUCUGAGAAUCAGACACUCAUUUACAGGGAACAGUGAGUCUUGUGUAUAGUUUUUUCUUUUAAAUUUCCAUGUUAGACAAUCCACUUCUAGGGAACAGAUUGUGAAGGAAACCUGUAGUACAGUUGGUAAAACUUGCCCAUUUUUUCUUUCCUAGUUGUUGCAAUUUCCUGAUACAGGCUGGAAGAUCUUGGAAACUGUUACUAAUGGGUUUCUCACCUCUACACUCUGGAGUAAUUAUUGCAUGUGUACCACUGUUUAUUAUGAGAUAGGUGUGAAUAGUUAUUUUACUUGGUAUAGAAGCAGGAUUUCUGUAGCAGUGUUAUAGUACAUCCCUUGGUAUGACUAAAAUGUUCUGUAGUUAGUCCCAAUUAGUAAAGCACAGAAGAAUAUAAACUCUGUUUUAAAGAAAAGCUAGAUGUUCUGUGAUCUGUGCACUACUGUAUGACUGCUAGAGACUAUUGGUAGGGUGCACAAGGUUGCAAGUGUAAUUGAACAAGACAUGGUGUACUUCAGAAACCUGCCAGUUCCAGAGAAGGUAUUCUGUUACUCGGUUUCUUCUGGCCUUCAUAACUUCAGAGAGGAUCAGACAGGACAAAGUUAGUGUGGUCUUGGGUAGUUAAGCUUGCCACAUAUCUAAAACAACGCAUGUUUGAUUAAAGCAUAAUGGUCAUACUGGGUCAGACCAGAGAUCUUCAGAGUGAUGGUGGAGGCCUGGGAACAAGUGUCAUAGAUGAAUAGCAAGGCAUGACUGCCUCCUCCAUUUUCUACACUUUAAAUUAUUUAUAUUUACAUAAAUGGUAUCUCUGCAGCUCAUGAAUGUACACAACUAAUAGUUGAAAGGAGAGCUGUGCAUUCAAAAAUACAGGUUAAUUUCUUAAACUGGGGAUGUAGUGCAGUUUCAAUGACUCCUCUUAUCUGAGGGCAGUUAAAUAGUAGGCUUAAAGACAAGCCCCAUGUUGUUUGCAGGAGCUUGGCAAGGGUACCCAAGUAGCAGAGACUGCAAGUCUUGAUUCCCAUUUGUCAUCUUUGUUCACAAAAAUUAACACUCUGGGCAUGUUAUUGUCAUAGUUUAACCCCAGCUGGCAACUAAGCCCCACACAGCUGCCUGCUCACUCCUCCCCAGCAGGAUGCAGGAGAGAAUUGGAGGGUAAAAGUGAGAAAAUAUGUGGGCUGGUAUAAAGACAGUUUAACAGGUAAAGCAAAAGCUGCAAAGGAAGCAAAGCAAAACAAGGGAUUCAUUCACUCCUUCCCAUUGGCAGGCAGGUGUUCAGCCAUCUCCAGGAAAGCAGGGCUCCAUCAUGUGUAAUGGUGACUUGGUAAGACAAACACCAUCACUCUGAAUGUCUCUCCUCUUCCUCCUCCUUCCCCCACUCUAUAUGCUGAGCAUAACAUCAUACGGUGUGAAAUAUCCCUUGGGUCAGUUGGGGUCAGCUGUCCUGGCCGUGUCCCCUCCCAACUCCUUGUGCACCCCCAGCCUGCUUGCUGGUGGGGUGAGAAGCAGCAAAGGCCUUGAGUCUGUGUAAGGGCUGCUUAGCAGUAGCAAAAACAUCUCUGUCAGCACUGUUCUCAGCACACAUCCAAAGCAUGCCCCAUAGUAGCUACUGUGGAGAAAAUUAACUCUCUCCCAGCCAAAACCAGCAGACUUAUCUUGUGUGUAGCUCUGCUGUUUUAAGAAAUUUAAAAAUGAGAUGACUUAACAUGCAUAACUUAAAAAAAUUACAGCUUUGAAGUAAAUUUUUUGUACAGAUGGUAGAGUCGUCUUUCAGGAAAUAAGUCAUAGUGCUUGCAUUAUUUAAGUUGCAUAUUGUAACUGUAUCAUACUGCCUUUAACUUAGAUAACUUAAAUUACAAGACUGCAUGCUUAUGUUAAUCUUUAUGUAUGGAGUGGUUUUAGGGCAACUCUUGAAGUCAUCAGCAAAAACAGUUCACCAUUUUUGUAAUAGUAGGGUGGUGUGUUGUAAAAGUUUUAUCAAAUCCUUGGUGGAUUUUUUGUUACUUUGUGAUUUGGAGAAGCAAAAUAUGCUGGGAGAGGUAGGGAUUUUUUCAGCUUCUGGUAAGAGUAGAGCCACUAUAAAACUUUGCCCUAGACACGUGGAGACAUGUCAGAGACUGAUAACAUUGUUCCUGCCAGGGAAAAAGAUUGGGCCUACAAUUUCCAUUGCUGAAAUAGCUUGUGUCUGUUAAGAUUGAGAGUAUGGCACCCAAGGAAAAAACUGACCGUUAAGCUUUAUUAGUUUCCCAUGGCUCAUGCUGCCAUGACACAGCAGAACAUAAGGAGGUAAAAUGAUGGGGGAGGGAUGAGUGGGUAUCCUAGCUAAAACUGACAGUAUGCAAGGUAAACAGGCCGCAGAACAGUAAAGCAUCAUAUUACGUGAGGCAUAGCCUAAUUGCCUCAUCGUGCUCUUGGCAGAAGCUAAAUAUGUUGGAAUCAAUCUUUAGUGUCUUUUCCAGCCUAAAUGAAUCUGUGUCAUUCUAGUGUCCCUCUGCCUGGCAGAUAUAACUAUAAAACUGUUUUUCUGUUGAGUAGAUGGGAUAGUUGGGGCUUAGUCUCAUUUGUUAAUGGUCUUGUUUUCUGCCUGGGAUUCCCACCAGUUCUAGAAGGUGGAAGGUAAAUGAUGAAUGAACUGAAGCACCGUGUGGCAGGACAAAACCUAUGAUUCCUGAAUGUCUUGUACUAGGCUCUCAAUGUAUAGUUAACAUUUUAGCUUUUAUUUUUCCAAUAUGUCACAAGUGUUCAUAGUGUGGUUAGGUAAUGAAAGGAUAUUAACUUCCCGUAAGUAGUUCAGGCUUUUGCUUCCACUUGAGUAUAGGAAACCUAUAUUUAGUAAUAUUUUUUAACCUCAGGUUUAGAAGCCUUUUGCAAAAGAUUUAAACACUUAUAUUUUGUGUAUUACUUUUCAGUGUAAAUAGCUGCUUGGCAUGGGUGGAUAUGGUUGCUCUGGUUAUCCUCAGGAUGACUUUUUUGUUACUUUUCCAAACACCUAAUUUUUCUUCUGGUCAUUUCUUCUUAGAACUUUGACUUGCUUCCCGAAUAACAGUACUCAUACUUUUCUACAUCUAUUCAAAUCUGAAUUUUAAUUUUUGGUUAAUUACCAUGUUGUACUGUAUUCCAGUUGACAAAUCAGUGGAGCAUUGUAAUUCUUCAGUGUAUCCUUACUGUGCUGAAAGCUAGCUUACAAAAGCUCAUGCUUUUCUCCCUAUUCACUGUCUUUUCUGGAGCACUUUGAAGAACAUUCAUUCCUGUAGGAUUGUACUGAUAACUGUUAUCCACUGUGAAGAACAUGUUUGCUGCUAAUGCCAAAUCCUCUUUGUCUGUCUCUUAAAAAUACCGAAAUGCAAAACAAUAUCUUCAAAGAAUUUUUUUGAUCCUUCUCAAAUGCAUGUAAAAGAACAACAGGUACUUCCUUUGUGUACGUGCUCAUUGAUUUGUUUGGAACACUCGGUAUAAACGUGAGGAAUAACUGUGUGUGGAAGGAGGAGGGAGCCUGUUUCCAUAAGCUAUUGUUAGCAUGUAACCUCUGUUGAAUGGCUUGAAAGACACUU